This 53-nucleotide non-coding RNA is filed under the name unclassified sequences. RNAcentral describes it as "Mu-gpT-DE RNA". It matches the Rfam family "Mu-gpT-DE RNA". The record is from Rfam by way of RNAcentral.
CCCUGACAGUCGCAUUGGGCGGCUGACUUAACCCACGACAGGAGAUAAUCAUG